GCGCCCGAAAGCGUCAAAACCAAUUAUUCAUGGUCGUUUGAUUGUCGCUGAGCAGCCUGACUACGAAUCAGAAGGUCGUAGGUUCGAAUCCUGCCGGGCGCGCCA
RNAcentral lists this transfer RNA (105 nucleotides) under Bacillota bacterium. Its description in RNAcentral is "Firmicutes bacterium (anaerobic digester metagenome) tRNA-OTHER". The record is from RNAcentral. Lineage: Bacteria; Bacillati; Bacillota.